UUACCCCAAAGGCCACUGGUACUCGCCUAUAUGCUGCGUUAUGCAGCCCUGCGAGUGGGAAGGUCCGCGUGCGCCUCUUUGUUCUAUCUCGCAGGGAGAGACAGAUGGCCGUUUGAUUCGCUGACUUAGAAGCUUGUUUGUGUAUGCUGCUCGUCAGUAAUGCUAGAAGGGACUGGCUGUCUCUACAACUCUUGCUGGGUGAAUGGCGUAGCGCCAUAAGGUUGGCCUGUAACAGAAAAGGCUCUUGCGCGGUAGGUCUGAGUGGAGCUUUCCCCGAUCAGUUCGCUCGGAAACACAUUCAGGCAAUGCAGGCGGAGAUUGGAAUCGGGUCUACUUGAUGAGAUCUGCCAGAAUCCCUUCUUUGCGUGAUACUUGCAAGCUGUACCUAGGACAGGAUUUGAGCGGUUGUCUGAAAGUCAUGGAAUGACCUGGGGCAAAGAGGUCGCUUGAUAUUGUCAAGCUUGAGUGCAAUCAGUGGCGUCUCUUAUACAGAGCAAACUCGACGCGAGACUACUCUUGGAGUAA
RNAcentral lists this RNase P RNA (525 nucleotides) under Malassezia globosa CBS 7966. RNAcentral describes it as "Nuclear RNase P". It matches the Rfam family "Nuclear RNase P". From Rfam's summary of the family: Ribonuclease P (RNase P) is a ubiquitous endoribonuclease, found in archaea, bacteria and eukarya as well as chloroplasts and mitochondria. Its best characterised activity is the generation of mature 5'-ends of tRNAs by cleaving the 5'-leader elements of precursor-tRNAs. The record is from Rfam by way of RNAcentral. Lineage: Eukaryota; Fungi; Basidiomycota; Malasseziomycetes; Malasseziales; Malasseziaceae.